This 402-nucleotide ribosomal RNA is filed under the name uncultured bacterium. Its description in RNAcentral is "bacterial SSU rRNA". It matches the Rfam family "Bacterial small subunit ribosomal RNA", at positions 260 to 679 of the family's 1533-position model. The record is from RNAcentral.
ACGGCCCACCAAGGCGACGAUCAGUAGCCGGCCUGAGAGGGCGGCCGGCCACAUUGGGACUGAGACACGGCCCAGACUCCUGCGGGAGGCAGCAGUGGGGAAUAUUGCACAAUGGGUGUUAUCCUGAUGCAGCGACGCCGAUUGAGCGAGGAAGUACCUCACUACCUAAAGCUCUGUCAGCAGGGAAGAAAAUGACAAUACCUGACCAAGAAGCCCCGGCUAACUACGUGCCAGCAGCCGCGAUAAUACGUAGGGGGCAAGCGUUAUCCGGAUUCACUGGGCGUAAAGGGAGCGCAGGCGGCACGGCAAGUCUGAUGUGAAAACCCGGGGCUCAACCCCGGGACUGCAUUGGAAACUGCCGGGCUGGAGUGUCGGAGGGGUAAGCGGAAUUCCUGGUGUAGC